GAUGAACGCUGGCGGUAUGCUUAACACAUGCAAGUCGAACGGACUCUUCGGAGUUAGUGGCGGACGGGUGAGUAACGCGUGAGAAUCUGGCUUUGGGUUCGGGACAACCACUGGAAACGGUGGCUCAUACCGGAUGUGCCGAGAGGUAAAAGAGAAAUUGCCUGAAGAUGAGCGCGCGGCUGAUUAGCUAGUUGGUGAGGUAAAGGCUCACCAAGGCAGCGAUCAGUAGCUGGUCUGAGAGGAUGACCAGCCACACUGGGACUGAGACACGGCCCAGACUCCUACGGGAGGCAGCAGUGGGGAAUUUUCCGCAAUGGGCGAAAGCCUGACGGAGCAAUACCGCGUGAGGGAAGAAGGCUCUUGGGUUGUAAACCUCUUUUCUUAGGGAAGAACAAAAUGACGGUACCUAAGGAAUCAGCAUCGGCUAACUCCGUG
Molecule: ribosomal RNA, 435 nt
Filed under: uncultured bacterium
Lineage: Bacteria
Description: partial 16S ribosomal RNA
Rfam family: Bacterial small subunit ribosomal RNA
Source: RNAcentral